GGGAAUGUGGCUUAGUGGUAGAGUGCUUGCUUAGCAUGCAUGAAGCCCUGGGUUCAAUUCCCCAGUACCA
RNAcentral lists this transfer RNA (70 nucleotides) under Dipodomys ordii (Ord's kangaroo rat). It matches the Rfam family "tRNA". From Rfam's summary of the family: Transfer RNA (tRNA) molecules are approximately 80 nucleotides in length. Their secondary structure includes four short double-helical elements and three loops (D, anti-codon, and T loops). The record is from Rfam by way of RNAcentral. Lineage: Eukaryota; Metazoa; Chordata; Mammalia; Rodentia; Heteromyidae.